RNAcentral lists this ribosomal RNA (373 nucleotides) under uncultured organism. Its description in RNAcentral is "bacterial SSU rRNA". It matches the Rfam family "Bacterial small subunit ribosomal RNA", at positions 526 to 896 of the family's 1533-position model. The record is from RNAcentral.
CGGAGGAUCCAAGCGUUAUCCGGAAUUACUGGGCGUAAAGAGUUGCGUAGGUGGCAGGGUAAGUAGAUAGUGAAAGCGUGUGGCUCAACCAUACUCACAUUAUCUAAACUGCUCAGCUAGAGUGUGAGAGAGGUACCUGGAAUUCUCAAUGUAGGAGUGGAAUCCGUAGAUAUUGGGAGGAACACCGAUGGCGUAGGCAGGGUACUGGCUCAUUACUGACACUAAGGCACGAAAGCGUGGGGAGCAAACGGGAUUAGAUACCCCGGUAGUCCACGCCGUAAACUAUGGAUGCUAGCUGUUAGAAGUAUCGACCCUUCUAGUAGCGAAGCUAACGCGUUAAGCAUCCCGCCUGUGGAGUACGAGCGCAAGCUUA